Molecule: ribosomal RNA, 422 nt
Filed under: uncultured archaeon
Lineage: Archaea
Description: partial 16S ribosomal RNA
Rfam family: Archaeal small subunit ribosomal RNA
Source: RNAcentral
CUACGGGCGGCAGCAGGCGAGAAAACUUUGCAAUGUGCGAAAGCACGACAAGGUUAAUCCGAGUGGUUUCUGCUAAAGGAACCUUUCGACAGUCCUAGAAACACUGUUGAAUAAGGGGUGGGCAAGUUCUGGUGUCAGCCGCCGCGGUAAAACCAGCACCUCAAGUGGUCAGGAUGAUUAUUGGGCCUAAAGCAUCCGUAGCCGGCUCUGUAAGUUUUCGGUUAAAUCUGUACGCUCAACGUACAGGCUGCCGGGAAUACUGCAGAGCUAGGGAGUGGGAGAGGUAGACGGUACUCGGUAGGAAGGGGUAAAAUCCUUUGAUCUAUUGAUGACCACCUGUGGCGAAGGCGGUCUACCAGAACACGUCCGACGGUGAGGGAUGAAAGCUGGGGGAGCAAACCGGAUUAGAUACCCUUGUAGUC